Molecule: ribosomal RNA, 584 nt
Filed under: uncultured bacterium
Lineage: Bacteria
Description: partial 16S ribosomal RNA
Rfam family: Bacterial small subunit ribosomal RNA
Source: RNAcentral
UGGGGGAAUUUUGGACAAUGGGCGAAAGCCUGAUCCAGCAAUGCCGCGUGUGUGAAGAAGGCCUUCGGGUUGUAAAGCACUUUUGUCCGGAAAGAAAUCCUUGGCUCUAAUACAGUCGGGGGAUGACGGUACCGGAAGAAUAAGCACCGGCUAACUACGUGCCAGCAGCCGCGGUAAUACGUAGGGUGCAAGCGUUAAUCGGAAUUACUGGGCGUAAAGCGUGCGCAGGCGGUUUGCUAAGACCGAUGUGAAAUCCCGGGCUCAACCUGGGAACUGCAUUGGUGACUGGCAGGCUAGAGUAUGGCAGAGGGGGGUAGAAUUCCACGUGUAGCAGUGAAAUGCGUAGAGAUGUGGAGGAAUACCGAUGGCGAAGGCAGCCCCCUGGGCCAAUACUGACGCUCAUGCACGAAAGCGUGGGGAGCAAACAGGAUUAGAUACCCUGGUAGUCCACGCCCUAAACGAUGUCAACUAGUUGUUGGGGAUUCAUUUCCUUAGUAACGUAGCUAACGCGUGAAGUUGACCGCCUGGGGAGUACGGUCGCAAGAUUAAAACUCAAUGAAUUGACGGGGUCAUAGCUGUUUCCU